CAGGCAGAACGGCUUGUCGCUCGUGUGAAACAGAACGGGAGGAAAGUCCGGGCAACAAAGAGCGCCAUGCUUCCUAACGGGAAGGGUUCGUCAUCCGGCGAAUACAGACAGUGCCACAGAAAACAAACCGCCUUGUAGCUUUUGCUGCGGGGUAAGGGUGAAAAGGCGGGGUAAGAGCCCACCGCUUUUCCGGCGACGGAAUUGGCAGGGUAAACCUCAUGGGUUGAAAGACCAAAUAGGCCUUACCGGUGGAAACACCGCGGAGCUGCUCGUUCCGAUGUAAGGUGGGUAGGUUGAUGGAGGCUUUCGGCAACGGAGGUCCCAGAUAAAUGACAGGCUAUCGCGGAACGUGUUCCAAGAGAAACAGAACCCGGCUUAUGAUUCUGCUUUUUUU
This 394-nucleotide RNase P RNA is filed under the name Bacteroidota bacterium. RNAcentral describes it as "Bacteroidetes bacterium (hot springs metagenome) RNase P RNA component class A". It matches the Rfam family "Bacterial RNase P class A". Rfam says of the family: Ribonuclease P (RNase P) is a ubiquitous endoribonuclease, found in archaea, bacteria and eukarya as well as chloroplasts and mitochondria. Its best characterised activity is the generation of mature 5'-ends of tRNAs by cleaving the 5'-leader elements of precursor-tRNAs. Cellular RNase Ps are ribonucleoproteins. The record is from RNAcentral. Lineage: Bacteria; Pseudomonadati; Bacteroidota.